This is a long non-coding RNA of Solanum pennellii, 454 nucleotides long. RefSeq lists it as uncharacterized. NCBI's taxonomy places the organism in Eukaryota, Viridiplantae, Streptophyta, Magnoliopsida, Solanales, Solanaceae. The transcript is spliced from 2 exons. The record is from RefSeq and is a predicted model, not a curated record.
GAUUAAGAAGAUGAUUAUAUGAUGAUUAUGAUGGCAUGAUAUGAAUAUGUUGAAUUGUGAGAUCAUGGUAACGGUAUGAUGAUAAAAGGUUGAAGGUUUAGGCUGUUGAGGUGCUUCGGGGCCAUUUGUAAGAAGACUUGGAAAUUUCCCAAGUUGUUGGUGAGUCCUCAAAGCUCGAGGAUGGUGCCAAUUGUUCUAUCCUAGUAGUAUUGCUUAUGUCUAAAGAUACUUAUUCUUGAGACUAUUGUUUUAAGCGUAUAUGUGACAUAUUGUACUUGUAAGGGCUAUGCCCAAACCUUUGUAACUCUCCUUUAAAUGGAUACAUGUGAGACAAAGUAUUAAACUACUUAAAUGAAUUGAACAUGCUAAAUGAUAGAUCUAUAUAAACUUCAUCAGGGAGGAGUCUAUGUAAAUUCCAUAUAUGAUAUGUGAGAAGUCUAAGUACACUUCAUUA